This 76-nucleotide transfer RNA is filed under the name Cardiobacterium sp. AH-315-I02. RNAcentral describes it as "tRNA-Asn". It matches the Rfam family "tRNA". Rfam says of the family: Transfer RNA (tRNA) molecules are approximately 80 nucleotides in length. Their secondary structure includes four short double-helical elements and three loops (D, anti-codon, and T loops). Further hydrogen bonds mediate the characteristic L-shaped molecular structure. tRNAs have two regions of fundamental functional importance: the anti-codon, which is responsible for specific mRNA codon recognition, and the 3' end, to which the tRNAs corresponding amino acid is attached (by aminoacyl-tRNA synthetases). tRNAs cope with the degeneracy of the genetic code in two manners: having more than one tRNA (with a specific anti-codon) for a particular amino acid; and 'wobble' base-pairing, i.e. permitting non-standard base-pairing at the 3rd anti-codon position. The record is from RNAcentral. Lineage: Bacteria; Pseudomonadati; Pseudomonadota; Gammaproteobacteria; Cardiobacteriales; Cardiobacteriaceae.
UCCUCGAUAGCUCAGUUGGUAGAGCAACGGACUGUUAAUCCGUUUGUCGUUGGUUCGAACCCAACUCGAGGAGCCA